UAUUUUAGGUAGUAAAGUGAAUUGUUCACUUCAUGAAAAUGCAGUGGCCUGAGUUCAGAGUAAAUCUCCCAGAGGUUGGUGAUGUCAACAUCAAUGCAGCUUUCUUUAGGAAAUUUGACUAUAGUAAUUCAAUGGUCAGGUUGAUUGGAUCAGUUCCUGUUAUCACGUGGGCCCCAAUAUUAGAAAGUGGGGCCAUAUGAAGCUUCGGAAUGUUCUUGAGGAAUGCAUGUUUGAUAAACAAUUUUGCAAGUCCCCUCUAAUUUAUCAGUUUUCUUCCUUGGGGUCACUUGAUGAGAAACGGAUGAGUG
Long non-coding RNA from Setaria italica (foxtail millet), 308 nucleotides. RefSeq lists it as uncharacterized. The record is from RefSeq and is a predicted model, not a curated record. The transcript is spliced from 3 exons. Lineage: Eukaryota; Viridiplantae; Streptophyta; Magnoliopsida; Poales; Poaceae.